CCUACGGGAGGCAGCAGUGGGGAAUAUUGCACAAUGGGGGAAACCCUGAUGCAGCGACGCCGCGUGAGUGAAGAAGUAUUUCGGUAUGUAAAGCUCUAUCAGCAGGGAAGAAAUAAAGUCCUUCGGACUUUGGACGGUACCUGACUAAGAAGCCCCGGCUAACUACGUGCCAGCAGCCGCGGUAAUACGUAGGGGGCAAGCGUUAUCCGGAUUUACUGGGUGUAAAGGGAGCGUAGACGGCAGCGCAAGUCUGGAGUGAAAUCCCAUGGCUUAACCAUGGAACUGCUUUGGAAACUGGGCAGCUGGAGUGCAGGAGAGGUAAGCGGAAUUCCUAGUGUAGCGGUGAAAUGCGUAGAUAUUAGGAGGAACACCAGUGGCGAAGGCGACUAUCUGGCACAUAACUGACGCUGAGGAGCGAAAGCGUGGGUAGCAAACAGGAUUAGAUACCCCAGUAGUC
Molecule: ribosomal RNA, 457 nt
Filed under: uncultured bacterium
Lineage: Bacteria
Description: partial 16S ribosomal RNA
Rfam family: Bacterial small subunit ribosomal RNA
Source: RNAcentral